AUAGCAUAGUGGAUACACCUGUUCCCAUACCGAACACAGAAGUUAAGCACUAUUACGCUGAUGAUAGUUGGGUUUUUACCCCGCAAAAGUAGGUCGUUGCCA
Molecule: ribosomal RNA, 102 nt
Filed under: human gut metagenome
Source: RNAcentral